UGCCAGCCGCCGCGGUAAGACGGAGGGUGCAAACGUUGUUCGGAAUCACUGGGCAUAAAGCGCACGUAGGCGGUUCGGUCAGUCAGAUGUGAAAGCCCCCGGCUCAACCGGGGAAUUGCAUUUGAUACUGCCGAGCUAGAGAGUGGUAGGGGUGAGCGGAACUCCAGGUGGAGCGGUGAAAUGCGUAGAUAUCUGGAGGAACACCGGUGGCGAAAGCGGCUCACUGGACCACGCCUGACGCUGAGGUGCGAAAGCUAGGGUAGCGAACGGGAUUAGAUA
Molecule: ribosomal RNA, 279 nt
Filed under: uncultured bacterium
Lineage: Bacteria
Description: partial 16S ribosomal RNA
Rfam family: Bacterial small subunit ribosomal RNA
Source: RNAcentral